CUGAUUUUACAAGGGGUUUUGUGGGUUCAAAUGGGGGAUUAUCAAGAUUCAUUUUUAUUUGCUACUCAUUUUGCGAAAACCAUUUACUUUGACUCAAUUAAUCCACUACAGUAGUAGCUACUACUCGAUUAUUCAACUCAGAUAUUAAAUAUAUGUUGUUCUCUACAAUAUGUAUGUUCUCUAAAGGAUCCCAAGGACAGGAACAGUUUCUGUGACAAGGGGAAUUAUGUCUUCAAUCAGCCUGUCUACCCAUUUGUCACGCACUCAAGGAGCCCAGCUAUCAAUUACCUUCGUUUUCAGGCAUGUUUUUGUGCUAUCCAGAAAGAUUGGCAACAGAAAGAUUUCCACUAUCGUUUGCGAAGGGACCCGCCUGGAUGGUUGGCAAUCAAUGCUUAACAAAUAUUUUUCUUACAUGCCUCAUACGUACGAGGAGGAGACAGACAACAAAGGCUCCCCUCAGUAUAUUGGUCAAACGGCAAUUUUCCUCAAUUAACUGCAAUUAUUAGGCAAAGCAAUAGACUGAGGGAGAGCGGAGAUGGGUACUCAGAGAGUCUGCCUGUUUCACUUGACUGCACUUAAUUAGUCAUUGGCAAAUGAUGCUGCAAUACUCAAUAAAUGAUGGACUGAUUGUACUGCGCUCAAGGACAGAUCUCCAAUUAAAAGUGUCGCCUAUUCGCGCAAUUAAAUUUCAAUUAAAGUGAA
Molecule: long non-coding RNA, 702 nt
Organism: Drosophila pseudoobscura
Lineage: Eukaryota; Metazoa; Arthropoda; Insecta; Diptera; Drosophilidae
Exons: 2
Source: RefSeq, a predicted model, not a curated record